CGGACGGCUCAUUAAAUCAGUCGUGGUCCAAAUGGGCCAGUGCAAAUCCUACUUGGAUAACUGUGGUAAUUCCAGAGCUAAUACAUGCAACUGAUAUCCCGAAGGCGGUGUUUGGGCUUGCUUGCCUUGCGCUGCGCUGCUCUGACGGAUGCUUUUAUUAGACCAAGCCGCUGAGGACUUGAGGGUUCGCGCUCUCUUGUCUGACUCGUGUGAUGGUGACUCUGGAUAACCAAAUUCUGACAAGCGCACGUACUUCUCUUCUGAGCGAGACGGCGCUGCCACUUUCGAGUGUCUGCCUUAUCAGCUAUCAACCGUUCGUUAUGCGCGACCGAUGGCUUUGACGGGUAACGGGGAAUCAGGGUUCGAUUCCGGAGAGGCAGCCUGAGAGACGGCUACCACGUCCAAGGACGGCAGCAGGCACGCAAAUUACCCAAUCCCAGCAAAUGGGGGAGGUAGUGACGAAAUCUAACGAUGCGGGCGCCCUUUCUGGGGCCCCGCAAUC
Molecule: ribosomal RNA, 502 nt
Filed under: Eulimnogammarus verrucosus
Lineage: Eukaryota; Metazoa; Arthropoda; Malacostraca; Amphipoda; Eulimnogammaridae
Description: SSU rRNA
Rfam family: Eukaryotic small subunit ribosomal RNA
Source: RNAcentral